AUUGAACGCUGGCGGCAUGCUUUACACAUGCAAGUCGAACGGCAGCGCGGGCUUCGGCCUGGCGGCGAGUGGCGCACGGGUGAGUAAUGCAUCGGAACGUGCCCAGUAGUGGGGGAUAGCCCGGCGAAAGCCGGAUUAAUACUGCAUACGACCUGCGGGUGAAAGCGGGGGGCCGUAAGACCUCGCGCUCUUGGAGGGGCGGAUGUCGGGGUAGCUAGUUGGUGGGGUAAAGGCUUACCUAGGCGACGAUCCGUAGCUGGUCGGACAGGACGACCAGCCACACUGGGACUGAGACACGGCCCAGACUACUGCGGGAGGCAGCAGUGGGGAAUUGUGGACAAUGGGGGCAACCCUGAUCCAGCCAUGCCGCGUGCGGGAAGAAGGCCUUCGGGUUGUAAACCGCUUUUGUUCGGGAAGAAAUCCUCUGGGCUAAUACCCCGGGGGGAUGACGGUACCGGAAGAAUAAGCACCGGCUAACUACGUG
RNAcentral lists this ribosomal RNA (484 nucleotides) under uncultured bacterium. Its description in RNAcentral is "partial 16S ribosomal RNA". It matches the Rfam family "Bacterial small subunit ribosomal RNA", at positions 28 to 507 of the family's 1533-position model. The record is from RNAcentral.